UGGGGAGAAGGUUGGUCCUUGGUCCGUUCAGACAGGGCACUCGUCUUUGUGGAUAAUCAUGACAACCAGAGGGGCCAUGGAGCUGGAGGAGCUUCCAUUCUCACCUUCUGGGAUGCCAGAUUGUACAAAAUGGCAGUUGGCUUUAUGCUUGCUCAUCCUUAUGGAUUUACACGAGUGAUGUCAAGCUUCAGGUGGCCAAGAAACUUUCAGAAUGGACAGGAUGCAAAUGAUUGGGUCGGACCACCCAAUGACAAUGGAGUGAUUAAAAGAGU
This is a long non-coding RNA of Vombatus ursinus (common wombat), 272 nucleotides long. RefSeq lists it as uncharacterized. The transcript is spliced from 3 exons. NCBI's taxonomy places the organism in Eukaryota, Metazoa, Chordata, Mammalia, Diprotodontia, Vombatidae. The record is from RefSeq and is a predicted model, not a curated record.